CUUCUUGCAAAAGAAGCACUCUGUCUAACUUUGAUCAGUCUUGAACUUGGAUUUCUAGGACUGACUCCCAGCACUAGGCACCUUCUUAUUCUUCUUCCUUUUUCCUUUCUUAAAGGGACGAUGACUAUCCGAAAAAGAUCCUCCUACUAGAUUCACUGUCUCUUUGUGGAGCUAGUGAUCUUUCUCAAAAAUCUAUAGCAAUCCCAAC
RNAcentral lists this long non-coding RNA (208 nucleotides) under Elaeis guineensis (African oil palm). Its description in RNAcentral is "long non-coding RNA (EGUI_LNC081150)". The record is from RNAcentral. Lineage: Eukaryota; Viridiplantae; Streptophyta; Magnoliopsida; Arecales; Arecaceae.